AGAGUUUGAUCAUGGCUCAGGACGAACGCUGGCGGCGUGCUUAACACAUGCAAGUCAAGGGGGCCCAGCAAUGGGCAACCGGCGAACGGGUGCGUAACACGUGAGCAACCUACCGAACUGUGGGGGAUAGCCGGCCUAACGGCCGAGUAAUACCACAUACGCUCUCAGUGAGGCAUUUCAUUGAGAGGAAACCUACGGGACAGAUCGAGGGGCUCGCGGCCUAUCAGCUAGUUGGCGAGGUAACGGCUCACCAAGGCAACGACGGGUAGCUGGUCUGAGAGGAUGGCCAGCCACAUUGGGACUGAGAUACGGCCCAGACUCCUACGGGAGGCAGCAGUGGGGAAUCUUGCGCAAUGGCCUAACGGCUGACGCAGCGACGCCGCGUGUGGGAUGAAGCUCCUCGGAGUGUAAACCACUGUUGCCCGGGACGAAUAGCUCGAUUAAUCGAGCCUGACGGUACCGGGUGAGGAAGCACCGGCUAACUCCGUGCCAGCAGCCGCGGUAAUACGGGGGGUGCGAGCGUUGUCCGGAAUCACUGGGCGUAAAGGGCGCGUAGGUGGUUUGAUAAGGGUGUGGUGAAAGUCCGGGGCUCAACCCCGGAUCUGCCGUGCCGACUGUCAAACUCGAGGACUGUAGAGGCAGACGGAAUUCCGGGUGUAGCGGUGGAAUGCGUAGAGAUCCGGAGGAAGACCGGUGGCGAAAGCGGUCUGCUGGGCAGUUUCUGACACUGAGGCGCGACAGCGUGGGGGAGCAAACAGGAUUAGAUACCCUGAUAGUCCACGCCGUAAACGAUGGGUACUAGUGCCUGGGGGAGCGACCCUCUGGGUGCCGGCGCUAACGCAGGAAGUACCCCGCCUGGGGAGUACGACCGCAAGGUUGAAACUCAAAGGAAUUGACGG
This 899-nucleotide ribosomal RNA is filed under the name uncultured bacterium. RNAcentral describes it as "bacterial SSU rRNA". It matches the Rfam family "Bacterial small subunit ribosomal RNA", at positions 8 to 916 of the family's 1533-position model. The record is from RNAcentral.